This 407-nucleotide ribosomal RNA is filed under the name uncultured bacterium. RNAcentral's name for it is "partial 16S ribosomal RNA". It matches the Rfam family "Bacterial small subunit ribosomal RNA", at positions 30 to 526 of the family's 1533-position model. The record is from RNAcentral.
AUUGAACGCUGGCGGCAGGCCUAACACAUGCCAGUCGAGCGGAGCGGCGGACGGGCGAGUAAUGCCUAGGACUCUGCCAGUUAGUGGGGGAUAACGUCCGGAAACGGGCGCCAAUACCGCAUACUAUUAGAUGAGCCUAGGUCGGAUUAGCUAGUUGGGGGGGUAAAGGCCUACCUAGGCGACGAGCCGUAUCUGGACUGAGAGGAUGAUCAGUCACACUGGAACUGAGACACGGUCCAGACUCCAACGGGAGGCAGCAGUGGGGAAUAGUGGACAAUGGGCGAAAGCCUGAUCCAGCCAUGCCGCGGGUGUGAAGAAGGUAUUCGGAUUGGAAAGCACUUUAAGUUGGGAGGCGUUAUCAACAGAAUAAGCACCGGCUAACUUCGUGCCAGGAGCCGCGGUAAUAC